Molecule: transfer RNA, 56 nt
Filed under: Paraleius leontonychus
Lineage: Eukaryota; Metazoa; Arthropoda; Arachnida; Sarcoptiformes; Scheloribatidae
Description: tRNA-Asn(gtt)
Source: RNAcentral
UAAAAUUAAGUUCUUGGCAACGUCUCUUUGUUAAGGAGAAAGUUUGGUAAUUUUUG